Xyrichtys novacula (pearly razorfish) is the source of this 79-nucleotide non-coding RNA. NCBI's taxonomy places the organism in Eukaryota, Metazoa, Chordata, Actinopteri, Labriformes, Labridae. The record is from the annotation of a GenBank genome assembly.
ACGUCUGGCAGAUCAGCUUUUUGUUUGUGUUAUGUUCCGACUAAAAUGUAAGACAAACAAAAAGUUUGUCUGUUUGAUG